UACGAAGGGUGCAAGCGUUACUCGGAAUUACUGGGCGUAAAGCGUGCGUAGGUGGUUUGUUAAGUCUGCUGUGAAAUCCUGGAGCUCAACUCCAGAACUGCCUUUGAUACUGAAGAUCUUGAGUUCGGUAGGGGAGUGUGGAAUUCCUGGUGGAGCGGUGAAAUGCGCAGAUAUCAGGAGGAACACCCGUAGCGAAGGCGGCACUCUGGGCCGAUACUGACACUGAGGAGCGAAAGCGUGGGGAGCGAACAGG
RNAcentral lists this ribosomal RNA (253 nucleotides) under uncultured bacterium. Its description in RNAcentral is "partial 16S ribosomal RNA". It matches the Rfam family "Bacterial small subunit ribosomal RNA", at positions 524 to 776 of the family's 1533-position model. The record is from RNAcentral.